RNAcentral lists this ribosomal RNA (450 nucleotides) under uncultured organism. RNAcentral describes it as "partial 16S ribosomal RNA". It matches the Rfam family "Bacterial small subunit ribosomal RNA", at positions 330 to 797 of the family's 1533-position model. The record is from RNAcentral.
CGUACACUCCUGCGGGAGGCAGCAGUGGGGAAUAUUGGACAAUGGGCGCAAGCCUGAUCCAGCCAUGCCGCGUGAGUGAUGAAGGCCCUAGGGUUGUAAAGCUCUUUCACCGGUGAAGAUAAUGACGGUAACCGGAGAAGAAGCCCCGGCUAACUUCGUGCCAGCAGCCGCGGUAAUACGAAGGGGGCUAGCGUUGUUCGGAUUUACUGGGCGUAAAGCGCACGUAGGCGGACUAUUAAGUCAGGGGUGAAAUCCCGGGGCUCAACCCCGGAACUGCCUUUGAUACUGGUAGUCUUGAGUUCGAGAGAGGUGAGUGGAAUUCCGAGUGUAGAGGUGAAAUUCGUAGAUAUUCGGAGGAACACCAGUGGCGAAGGCGGCUCACUGGCUCGAUACUGACGCUGAGGUGCGAAAGCGUGGGGAGCAAACAGGAUUAGAAACCCCGGUAGUCCC